AGUGAACGCUGGCGGUAGGCCUAACACAUGCAAGUCGAACGGCAGCACAGUAAGAGCUUGCUCUUACGGGUGGCGAGUGGCGGACGGGUGAGGAAUACAUCGGAAUCUACUUUUUCGUGGGGGAUAACGUAGGGAAACUUACGCUAAUACCGCAUACGACCUACGGGUGAAAGCAGGGGAUCUUCGGACCUUGCGCGAUUGAAUGAGCCGAUGUCGGAUUAGCUAGUUGGCGGGGUAAAGGCCCACCAAGGCGACGAUCCGUAGCUGGUCUGAGAAGAUGAUCAGCCACACUGGAACUGAGACACGGUCCAGACUCCUACGGGAGGCAGCAGUGGGGAAUAUUGGACAAUGGGCGCAAGCCUGAUCCAGCCAUACCGCGUGGGUGGAGAAGGCCUUCGGGUUGUAAAGCCCUUUUGUUGGGAAAGAAAAGCAGCAGGUUAAUACCCCGCUGUUCUGACGGUACCCAAAGAAUAAGCACCGGCUAACUUCGUG
RNAcentral lists this ribosomal RNA (492 nucleotides) under uncultured bacterium. Its description in RNAcentral is "partial 16S ribosomal RNA". It matches the Rfam family "Bacterial small subunit ribosomal RNA", at positions 29 to 507 of the family's 1533-position model. The record is from RNAcentral.